RNAcentral lists this ribosomal RNA (726 nucleotides) under Shouchella hunanensis. RNAcentral describes it as "bacterial SSU rRNA". It matches the Rfam family "Bacterial small subunit ribosomal RNA", at positions 56 to 766 of the family's 1533-position model. The record is from RNAcentral. Lineage: Bacteria; Bacillati; Bacillota; Bacilli; Caryophanales; Bacillaceae.
UGCAGUCGAGCGGACAGAAGGGAGCUUGCUCCCGGAAGUCAGCGGCGGACGGGUGAGUAACACGUAGGUAACCUGCCCCUUAGACUGGGAUAACUCCGGGAAACCGGAGCUAAUACGGGAUAAUAAAGAGAAUCACCUGAUUCUCUUUUGAAAGACGGUUUCGGCUGUCACUAAGGGAUGGGCCUGCGGCGCAUUAGCUAGUUGGUAAGGUAACGGCUUACCAAGGCGACGAUGCGUAGCCGACCUGAGAGGGUGAUCGGCCACACUGGGACUGAGACACGGCCCAGACUCCUACGGGAGGCAGCAGUAGGGAAUCUUCCGCAAUGGACGAAAGUCUGACGGAGCAACGCCGCGUGAGUGAGGAAGGCCUUCGGGUCGUAAAGCUCUGUUGUGAGGGAAGAACAAGUACCGGGGUAACUACCGGUACCUUGACGGUACCUCACCAGAAAGCCACGGCUAACUACGUGCCAGCAGCCGCGGUAAUACGUAGGUGGCAAGCGUUGUCCGGAAUUAUUGGGCGUAAAGCGCGCGCAGGCGGCUUCUUAAGUCUGAUGUGAAAUCUCGGGGCUCAACCCCGAGCGGCCAUUGGAAACUGGGAAGCUUGAGUGCAGAAGAGGAGAGUGGAAUUCCACGUGUAGCGGUGAAAUGCGUAGAUAUGUGGAGGAACACCAGUGGCGAAGGCGACUCUCUGGUCUGUAACUGACGCUGAGGCGCGAAAGCGUGGGG